This 228-nucleotide ribosomal RNA is filed under the name uncultured bacterium. RNAcentral's name for it is "partial 16S ribosomal RNA". It matches the Rfam family "Bacterial small subunit ribosomal RNA", at positions 524 to 751 of the family's 1533-position model. The record is from RNAcentral.
UACGUAGGGGGCAAGCGUUGUCCGGAAUUAUUGGGCGUAAAGCGCGCGCAGGCGGUCAUUUAAGUCUGGUGUUUAAUCCCGGGGCUCAACCCCGGAUCGCACUGGAAACUGGGUGACUUGAGUGCAGAAGAGGAGAGUGGAAUUCCACGUGUAGCGGUGAAAUGCGUAGAUAUGUGGAGGAACACCAGUGGCGAAGGCGACUCUCUGGGCUGUAACUGACGCUGGAGG